Molecule: ribosomal RNA, 468 nt
Filed under: uncultured bacterium
Lineage: Bacteria
Description: partial 16S ribosomal RNA
Rfam family: Bacterial small subunit ribosomal RNA
Source: RNAcentral
GACGAACGCUGGCGGCGUGCUUAACACAUGCAAGUCGAACGGAAAGGCCCUGCUUUUGUGGGGUGCUCGAGUGGCGAACGGGGGAGUAACACGUGAGUAACCUGCCCUUGACUUUGGGAUAACUUCAGGAAACUGGGGCUAAUACCGGAUAGGAGCUCCUGCUGCAUGGUGGGGGUUGGAAAGAUUCGGCGGUUGGGGAUGGACUCGCGGCUUAUCAGCUUGUUGGUGGGGUAGUGGCUUACCAAGGCUUUGACGGGUAGCCGGCCUGAGAGGGUGACCGACCACAUUGGGACUGAGAUACGGCGCAGACUGCUACGGGAGGCAGCAGUGGGGAAUAUUGCACAAUGGGCGGAAGCCUGAUGCAGCAACGCCGCGUGCGGGAUGACGGCCUUCGGGUUGUAAACCGCUUUCGCCUGUGACGAAGCGUGAGUGACGGUAAUGGGUAAAGAAGCACCGGCUAACUACGUG